Molecule: unclassified non-coding RNA, 425 nt
Filed under: soil metagenome
Description: partial contains 5.8S ribosomal RNA, internal transcribed spacer 2, and large subunit ribosomal RNA
Rfam family: 5.8S ribosomal RNA (bases 1-120)
Source: RNAcentral
GAUGAAGAACGUAGCGAAAUGCGAUAAGUAGUGUGAAUUGCAGAAUUCCGUGAAUCAUCGAAUCUUUGAACGCACAUUGCGCCUUCUGGUAUUCCGGAAGGCAUGCCUGUUCGAGAGUCAUUAACAACCGUUUCGAUCCCUUUCUUUCAGAAAUUACAAAGAGGAAAAGGGUUUGGUUAUGGUGGAGGAGGGAAAGGGAGCGUUUAGCCUGUAAAAAAAGAGGCUGUGUUCCGCCUCCCCCCCAAAAAUGUACAGGCGGUCGUGUGCGCCCACGCAUCGAGGUGUUGUAAAAGCUGCCACGGCACUUUUCACCUGUGCAGUGCGAGAUUGGCCAGCCGGUUUAAAAACCCCUCCAAACAAUCAAAGGUUGACCUCGGAUCAGGUAGGGAUACCCGCUGAACUUAAGCAUAUCAAUAAGCGGAGGA